RNAcentral lists this ribosomal RNA (261 nucleotides) under uncultured bacterium. RNAcentral describes it as "partial 16S ribosomal RNA". It matches the Rfam family "Bacterial small subunit ribosomal RNA", at positions 524 to 784 of the family's 1533-position model. The record is from RNAcentral.
UACGAAGGGGGCUAGCGUUGCUCGGAAUCACUGGGCGUAAAGCGCACGUAGGCGGCUUCUUAAGUCAGGGGUGAAAUCCUGGAGCUCAACUCCAGAACUGCCUUUGAUACUGAGGAGCUUGAGUCCGGGAGAGGUGAGUGGAACUGCGAGUGUAGAGGUGAAAUUCGUAGAUAUUCGCAAGAACACCAGUGGCGAAGGCGGCUCACUGGCCCGGUACUGACGCUGAGGAGCGAAAGCGUGGGGAGCAAACAGGAUUAAGAA